UACGUAGGAGGCAAGCGUUGUCCGGAGUUACUGGGCGUAAAGCGCACGCAGGCGGUCCAAUCAGUCUGCAGGGACAGGGCAUAGCUUAACUGUGUCAGGCCUGUGGAAACUGUUGGACUUGAGGGCUUCAGAGGGAUGGGGAAUUCCGGGUGGAGUGGUGAAAUGCGUAGAGAUCCGGAAGAACACCAAAGGCGAAGGCACCAUCCUGGGGAGUCACUGACGCUCGGGUGCGAAAGCUAGGGGAGCGAACGGG
RNAcentral lists this ribosomal RNA (253 nucleotides) under uncultured prokaryote. Its description in RNAcentral is "partial 16S ribosomal RNA". It matches the Rfam family "Bacterial small subunit ribosomal RNA", at positions 524 to 776 of the family's 1533-position model. The record is from RNAcentral.